Non-coding RNA from Salmo salar (Atlantic salmon), 54 nucleotides. The record is from Rfam. NCBI's taxonomy places the organism in Eukaryota, Metazoa, Chordata, Actinopteri, Salmoniformes, Salmonidae.
UGUAUUCACUACUGUAAGUUGCUCUGGAUAAGAGCGUCUGCUAAAUGACUCAAA